Molecule: ribosomal RNA, 254 nt
Filed under: uncultured bacterium
Lineage: Bacteria
Description: partial 16S ribosomal RNA
Rfam family: Bacterial small subunit ribosomal RNA
Source: RNAcentral
GACGAACCGUGCGAACGUUGUUCGGAAUCACUGGGCUUAAAGGGCGCGUAGGCGGGCUGCCAAGUCCGUAGGUGAAAUCCCCCGGCUCAACCGGGGAACGGCCUCGGAUACUGGCGGCCUGGAGGGGGGUAGGGGCGUGCGGAACUGUGGGUGGAGCGGUGAAAUGCGUUGAGAUCCACAGGAACUCCGGUGGCGAAGGCGGCACGCUGGACCAUUUCUGACGCUGAGGCGCGAAAGCCAGGGGAGCGAACGGG